GGGCUCCGUGGCUUCUGCUGGCUUUUCUACGAGGGGGGGGGAAUUCCCCCACCUCCUAGAAAAGCCCGCAGGAGCCGCGCACCCU
Podarcis lilfordi (Lilford's wall lizard) is the source of this 85-nucleotide non-coding RNA. The record is from the annotation of a GenBank genome assembly. Lineage: Eukaryota; Metazoa; Chordata; Lepidosauria; Squamata; Lacertidae.